This 86-nucleotide transfer RNA is filed under the name Rhodanobacter lindaniclasticus. RNAcentral's name for it is "tRNA-Leu". It matches the Rfam family "tRNA". From Rfam's summary of the family: Transfer RNA (tRNA) molecules are approximately 80 nucleotides in length. Their secondary structure includes four short double-helical elements and three loops (D, anti-codon, and T loops). Further hydrogen bonds mediate the characteristic L-shaped molecular structure. tRNAs have two regions of fundamental functional importance: the anti-codon, which is responsible for specific mRNA codon recognition, and the 3' end, to which the tRNAs corresponding amino acid is attached (by aminoacyl-tRNA synthetases). tRNAs cope with the degeneracy of the genetic code in two manners: having more than one tRNA (with a specific anti-codon) for a particular amino acid; and 'wobble' base-pairing, i.e. permitting non-standard base-pairing at the 3rd anti-codon position. The record is from RNAcentral. RNAcentral also lists the same sequence under 45 other names. Lineage: Bacteria; Pseudomonadati; Pseudomonadota; Gammaproteobacteria; Lysobacterales; Rhodanobacteraceae.
GCCGGUGUGGCGGAAUGGUAGACGCGGCGGACUCAAAAUCCGCUUGUGGUGACACAGUGGAGGUUCGAGUCCUCUCACCGGUACCA